This 227-nucleotide long non-coding RNA is filed under the name Brassica napus (rape). RNAcentral's name for it is "long non-coding RNA (BNAP_LNC016389)". Lineage: Eukaryota; Viridiplantae; Streptophyta; Magnoliopsida; Brassicales; Brassicaceae. The record is from RNAcentral.
UCGCCUAGAUGUAACAUCCAGAUUCAAGGCAUAUCAACAGUGCAGAUUAUCAAAGUAGCCUUUAGGGUCACUCUCAAAGUUAUCUCUUGAAAUGUAGGAAGAUCCGUUGCUCCCUGGUGCCACCAUGUAGCCACCUCCUCCAACACCGCCACCACAACUUUUUCCUCCUCCUCCACCUCCAUGACCACCACCAAUGCUUCUCCUACCUCCUCCACUGCCACCACAAC